This 258-nucleotide unclassified non-coding RNA is filed under the name Hevea brasiliensis (rubber tree). Lineage: Eukaryota; Viridiplantae; Streptophyta; Magnoliopsida; Malpighiales; Euphorbiaceae. The record is from RNAcentral.
GGAGAUUGAGAGCCCGCUGGCUCUGUUGAAGGAUGCUUCCUUUGUUGAGCCUUUGGGGAACUGUGGGAAGAAGGUUCUGCUGUGGUGGUUGCGUGUUGAGGCGAGAUCUGAUAGCAAGUUCCCACCGGGAUGGGUAAUUGACCCUCCUUUGGACAUCACUGUCCCUGCAAAGCACACUCCGUGGCCUCACGCACCUCUUGAUCCUGAAAUUGUUGUUGAGAAGACGACUAUGGAUGUUGAACAUGUGGAAAAGCGCGC